This 492-nucleotide ribosomal RNA is filed under the name uncultured bacterium. RNAcentral describes it as "partial 16S ribosomal RNA". It matches the Rfam family "Bacterial small subunit ribosomal RNA", at positions 29 to 507 of the family's 1533-position model. The record is from RNAcentral.
AGUGAACGCUGGCGGUAGGCCUAACACAUGCAAGUCGAACGGCAGCACAGUAAGAGCUUGCUCUUACGGGUGGCGAGUGGCGGACGGGUGAGGAAUACAUCGGAAUCUACUUUUUCGUGGGGGAUAACGUAGAGAAACUUACGCUAAUACCGCAUACGACCUACGGGUGAAAGCAGGGGAUCUUCGGACCUUGCGCGAUUGAAUGAGCCGAUGUCGGAUUAGCUAGUUGGCGGGGUAAAGGCCCACCAAGGCGACGAUCCGUAGCUGGUCUGAGAGGAUGAUCAGCCACACUGGAACUGAGACACGGUCCAGACUUCUACGGGAGGCAGCAGUGGGGAAUAUUGGACAAUGGGCGCAAGCCUGAUCCAGCCAUACCGCGUGGGUGAAGAAGGCCUUCGGGUUGUAAAGCCCUUUUGUUGGGAAAGAAAAGCAGCAGGUUAAUACCCCGCUGUUCUGACGGUACCCAAAGAAUAAGCACCGGCUAACUUCGUG